GCAAGUCGAACGAGAAAGAGUUCUUCGGAACUCGAGUAAAGUGGCGCACGGGUGAGUAACGCGUAGAUAACCUGUCUUUAUGUCUGGGAUAACCCACCGAAAGGUGGACUAAUACCGGAUAUGCUUCCAUUUCAUAAGUUUUGUAAGCAAAGGUGGCCUCUGAUUUAAGCUACUGCAUAUUGAGGGGUCUGCGUACCAUUAGCUAGUUGGUGGGGUAAGAGCCUACCAAGGCGACGAUCUGUAGCUGGUCUGAGAGGACGAUC
This 263-nucleotide ribosomal RNA is filed under the name uncultured bacterium. Its description in RNAcentral is "partial 16S ribosomal RNA". It matches the Rfam family "Bacterial small subunit ribosomal RNA", at positions 57 to 305 of the family's 1533-position model. The record is from RNAcentral.